This 483-nucleotide ribosomal RNA is filed under the name uncultured bacterium. RNAcentral's name for it is "partial 16S ribosomal RNA". It matches the Rfam family "Bacterial small subunit ribosomal RNA", at positions 28 to 507 of the family's 1533-position model. The record is from RNAcentral.
GAUGAACGCUGGCGGCGUGCCUAACACAUGCAAGUCGAACGAAGCUUGACGGAUGAUUUCUUCGGAAUGAAACCAGAUAUGACUUAGUGGCGGACGGGUGAGUAACACGUGAGCAACCUGCCUUUCAGAGGGGGAUAACGGCUGGAAACGGUCGCUAAUACCGCAUGAUGUGUUCGGAUGGCAUCAUCUGAACAUCAAAGAUUUAUCGCUGAAAGAUGGGCUCGCGUCUGAUUAGAUAGUUGGUGGGGUAACGGCCUACCAAGUCUACGAUCAGUAGCCGGACUGAGGGGUUGAACGGCCACAUUGGGACUGAGAUACGGCACAGACUCAUACGGGAGGCAGCAGUGGGGAAUAUCGCAAAAUGGGGGAAACCCUGAUGCAGCAACGCCGCGUGAAGGAUGACGGUUUUCGGAUUGUAAACUUCUUUUCUUAGUGACGAAGACAGUGACGGUAGCUAAGGAAUAAGCAUCGGCUAACUACGUG